Molecule: long non-coding RNA, 462 nt
Organism: Cydia splendana
Lineage: Eukaryota; Metazoa; Arthropoda; Insecta; Lepidoptera; Tortricidae
Exons: 3
Source: RefSeq, a predicted model, not a curated record
UUUAUUUCAGACUGUUUUUGCACUCUUCAGCGCGACUGUUUACUUCAUUAUCCUACUUUAUAAGGCAUUCUACUCGUUAAUAUCACAAAAGGAGAGAAAUAGGUUCGGAAGUGGCAAUACCAUUUUUCUCCUGUGCAAUUACAUCACGGUACCUAUGUUAACGAUGCUCGCCGGGCAGAAGACGCACUACGAGGCGGACCGAGUGAUCAGAACGUUGGCGCGUCUGAACAACAUACUAUUGACAGUUCGAGGCGAUGGCGUGGCAGAGCUGAACAAAACAGUGAAAAACCUUCACCGAACAAUGACAGCGAACCCCACCCGGAUCGAGAUGCUGCCCGACGUGGUCCUGCACAUGCCUAUGCUGCCUAAUAUUAUGCACACCGUUAUAUCCUAUACUAUUAAUUUUCUUCAAAUUAAUCACCUUGUGUGAGGGGUGUUUAGUGUUUACCUAAGAUAUAAUAA